Molecule: ribosomal RNA, 800 nt
Filed under: uncultured bacterium
Lineage: Bacteria
Description: bacterial SSU rRNA
Rfam family: Bacterial small subunit ribosomal RNA
Source: RNAcentral
AGAACGAACGCUGGCGGCAGGCCUAACACAUGCAAGUCGAACGCGUGUAGCAAUACACGAGUGGCGCACGGGUGAGUAACACGUGGGAACCUACCUAGAGGUGCGGAAUAACUGCGGGAAACUGCAGCUAAUACCGCUAUUACCCUAAGGGGGAAAGAUUUAUCGCCUUUAGACGGGCCCGCGUCUGAUUAGCUAGUUGGUGAGGUAACGGCUCACCAAGGCAACGAUCAGUAGCUGGUCUGAGAGGACGACCAGCCACACUGGAACUGAGACACGGUCCAGACUCCUGCGGGAGGCAGCAGUGGGGAAUAUUGGGCAAUGGAGGAAACUCUGACCCAGCCAUGCCGCGUGGGUGAUUGAAGGUCUUCGGAUUGUAAAGCCCUUUCAGCGGGGACGAUGAUGACGGUACCCGCAGAAGAAGCCCCGGCUAACUUCGUGCCAGCAGCCGCGGUAAUACGAAGGGGGCUAGCGUUGUUCGGAUUUACUGGGCGUAAAGGGCGCGUAGGCGGCCCGUUUAGUCAGGCGUGAAAUGCCCGAGCUCAACUCGGGAAAUGCGCUUGAUACUGGCGGGCUUGAAUCCGGGAGAGGAUGGUGGAACUCCCAGUGUAGAGGUGAAAUUCGUAGAUAUUGGGAAGAACACCCGUGGCGAAGGCGGCCAUCUGGACCGGUAUUGACGCUAAAGCGCGACAGCGUGGGGAGCAAACAGGAUUAGAUACCCUGGUAGUCCACGCCGUAAACGAUGAGUGCUAGACGUUGGGGGGCCUAGCUUCCCAGUGUCGCAGCUAACGCAUUAAGCACUC